RNAcentral lists this transfer RNA (71 nucleotides) under Cordylochernes scorpioides. RNAcentral's name for it is "tRNA-Gly". Lineage: Eukaryota; Metazoa; Arthropoda; Arachnida; Pseudoscorpiones; Chernetidae. The record is from RNAcentral.
UGCAUCCGCCGGGAAUCGAACCCGGGCCGCCCACGUGGCAGGCGAGCAUUCUACCACUGAACCACCGAUGG